ACUUAAAAUUAUCUAAAUUUAUAAUUCUAAAUAAAAUAUGUAAAAUAAUAAGGAUAGCUAGAUUUAAAAAGUCAUUUAUUAAUCUCUCAGGUGUAAGACAUUUUAAUUGUUAGUGUUUUCGUGAAUGUUGGAAGAUAUUUUAAAAGCAGUCUUAAAUAUUUCAAAUUAAACUAAAAAAACUAUUAUUAAUUAAUUUACCAGGAGUAAGUAAGUAAUCUAGAAAAAAGUAAUCAGUCACAUUGCAGUUACAGGUAAAAGGUAUAUUAGCUUUGAUUAUUUUUUUUAUCUAGAGAGAGCAAUAAGUUUCGAUCGCAAUAAUCAAGACAAUUAAUAUAUAUUUAGUUAAACCGAAUAUCAUUUAAGAAGUUUUAAUCAAUUUAGUUACAUUUUUUAUCCAAUAUGAUCUAUAGCCUCAAUGGAUAACUGGAUUCAAUCAUUUUGUGAUAAUAAUAAAAAUUUUGUUCAAUAAGGUAAUCUAUUAUCAAUCUCGGCUCGGGAAUGUAAAGCUAAUAUCUGCAGUGUUUGCUGUUUUGCUAUUAUAAUUAAGUAAUCUAGAUUAAAUUAGUUUACAAGGAAAGUGGUAAAGUGUCAAAUUUAUUACAACAAAAUAUUUUAUAAUGACUUAAAUUAACAGUCACUUGGGAAUUUAUUAGUACAAAAACUACCUUUGAGUUAAAUUUACAAAUUAUUUAAUGCAUUCUUCCGUUAUGGAAAAAAUAAUUUAUAAUUUAAUUACUGAUGAUAAAUAUUACUCAAAAUAUUUUUAAUCAUCCUCCAAAAUCUUUACCAAAAGUAUAUUUGCAGGACCUAGUCAGAGUUUAGAAACUAAUUAUUGCUUGAUAUUCGUUCGACAUGUACAAAUACGGAAGCUCUUUCUAGGUAAAUAAAUUAAUGAAGCUUUUAAUAUUCAAUAAUAUAUCUUACAAUCGUAGACAAAAAAAUCUUUUGAACUUUGAUAAAUUUAUAAGUAAUAUUUUACUAAUAUUUAAUUCCAAAUAUCACUGUCUUCUAACAGUCAAUAGCUAUGGUAGUCAACAAUUCAAUAUAUUUAUAUAUAUUACCAAUGUGAAUGAUGAAUGAGCCAGUUUUGUGUGAAUUUCUAAUAUUUUGUACAAUGCCAAUAAUUGUCUGAACAAAGUUGAUUGUGAAUUAAUAUUGCUUGUGUAUUACAUACAAACUUAAUUAUACUUUUAUUUUGUUUAGACUUCAUAAUAAGGAAGUUUCAAAACCUCUAGAAUUUAAUUAAUUUCACAAUAGAAAUAUGUAGUUUAGACUUCGACUUUUCAAUAGUACACUUAGUAACUCAAGAUUGUUGUACUGUCUUUAUUCAAACCAUAGGUUUUUUUAUAAAAUAUUUUUUAUUACCAAAUACAUUAAAUAAAUCAGACAGGUAAAAUUUAGAUUUAAGGAUUUUAUAUUUAAAGUAUAGAAUUAAACAUAACUUAUGAAGUAA
Long non-coding RNA from Vanessa tameamea, 1453 nucleotides. RefSeq lists it as uncharacterized. NCBI's taxonomy places the organism in Eukaryota, Metazoa, Arthropoda, Insecta, Lepidoptera, Nymphalidae. The transcript is spliced from 2 exons. The record is from RefSeq and is a predicted model, not a curated record.